GCUCCCUGCCCCCUUGCUUGCUCUGUUUGCUUACCAAAUGCAGCUAACAUUGUUGUUCUGUCCUUUGGAAACUGUGCAGCCCUCACCUUUCAUCUUUGUUCCAUCUUCUCCCUCAUACUGCUUGCCCUAACAAACACAGUCAGAACCAUCUGACAAGGUCCUCUGCUCCUUGUAGGUGUUCAGCUUGCUAAGGGAGCUGGGCUCUUCUCAGAAGAGAAGUACAGUUCUGUACCUGCUCUCACUAGGCACUUUUCUGUGCUGAUGAAUUUGGCUUCGGUGCCUGGUUCUUUUCCUCCCCUAGGAACACUUUGUUUUUAUUCGCAACUGGAAAUGUGCAGUGGUGCUCCCUUGUAGCUACUUGCAGCACUUGGCUCUCUGGGAACAGAAAUCUAGAGGGGACCCAGAAAGAAUGGUGGCAGAGCUGAAAAAGUUCAGGAUGCUUUUACAGCAUGUGAAAGGGACAAACCAUCUGGAUUUCAUUUUCGCCUCCCUCCUGCCUAGUCAGCUGCUGAACUAUGGAGAGACCAUGACACUUGUCAGGCUGGGG
Molecule: long non-coding RNA, 547 nt
Filed under: Manacus vitellinus (golden-collared manakin)
Lineage: Eukaryota; Metazoa; Chordata; Aves; Passeriformes; Pipridae
Description: lncRNA (ENSMVIG00005017283.1)
Source: RNAcentral